UACGGAGGGUGCGAGCGUUGUCCGGAAUCACGGGGCGUAAAGGGCGCGUAGGCGGCCUGAUAAGUAGGGGGUGAAAUCCUGCGGCUUAACCGCAGGGCUGCCUUCUAAACUGUCAGGCUGGAGCACAGUAGAGGCAGGUGGAAUUCCCGGUGUAGCGGUGGAAUGCGUAGAGAUCGGGAAGAACAUCAGUGGCGAAGGCGGCCUGCUGGGCUGUUGCUGACGCUGAGGCGCGACAGCGUGGGGAGCAAACAGG
RNAcentral lists this ribosomal RNA (253 nucleotides) under uncultured bacterium. Its description in RNAcentral is "partial 16S ribosomal RNA". It matches the Rfam family "Bacterial small subunit ribosomal RNA", at positions 524 to 776 of the family's 1533-position model. The record is from RNAcentral.